GGAGUUAGCCGGUGCUUCUUCUGUGAGUGAUGUCCUUCCUGCCGGUUAUUGACCCGCAGGCCUUCUUCCUCACUGAAAGUGCUUUACAACCCGAAGGCCUUCUUCACACACGCGGCAUGGCUGGAUCAGGGUUGCCCCCAUUGUCCAAUAUUCCCCACUGCUGCCUCCCGUAGGAGUCUGGGCCGUGUCUCAGUCCCAGUGUGGCUGAUCAUCCUCUCAGACCAGCUACGGAUCGUCGCCUUGGUGAGCCGUUACCUCACCAACCAGCUAAUCCGACAUAGGCUCAUCCGAUAGCGCGAGGCCCGAAGGUCCCCCGCUUUCCCCCGUAGGGCGUAUGCGGUAUUAGCCUGGGUUUCCCCAGGUUAUCCCCCACUACCGGGCAGAUUCCUAUGCAUUACUCACCCGUCCGCCGCUCGCCACCAGGGAGCAAGCUCCCCGUGCUGCCGCUCGACUUGCAUGUGUUAGGUCGUCGCCGCCACGCGUUCUAAUACUGAGCCACUGAUACAAACCUACUCGUA
RNAcentral lists this ribosomal RNA (518 nucleotides) under uncultured bacterium. RNAcentral describes it as "partial 16S ribosomal RNA". The record is from RNAcentral.